This is a long non-coding RNA of Mastomys coucha (southern multimammate mouse), 1496 nucleotides long. RefSeq lists it as uncharacterized. The record is from RefSeq and is a predicted model, not a curated record. The transcript is spliced from 6 exons. Lineage: Eukaryota; Metazoa; Chordata; Mammalia; Rodentia; Muridae.
CCUUUGGAUCACUAAGGCUCUGAUGUCUUGAUGACAGAAUAAUGGCAUGUCCACAUCUGUCUUCCCUUUCAUCCUCAUCAGUCAGCAUCUUAUGUAAAACACUUAUCUUCCCAAGGAUGGCUUGGAUGCUGGUGAACGCUAGUGGUCCUGGACAAUGGCAUACUUUUUCAGGAGUCUGUCAUAAUUCUUAGCAUGCUGUCUCUCAUGGAUGCCAGGAGCUGCUUUUGUGGAUUAGAGGCUACCAUCUGAGACAGACUCAGAGAAGCUCUGAUACCAACCCAAUUCUGAGGGACAGCUUAAGAGAAGUCUGUUCUUGGCAGCAGUGUCUAUGACAACAACCUCAGUUCAUUUCUAACAUUUAUGCACUGACAGACAAUAUUCAAGAACACUGGAUAUCAUUCUUCUAUAUGUAAAUAAGCCACUGAAGAUUGCCUCCCACUCCUGAAAUGGUUUGAACUCAUAAAUUAUCCCUGGACUGAAGGCCAGCAGUAGAGAGGCAAAGGAAACAGAAAGGAGAGGAUACUUCCACAAGACACUCUAAGUUCCUGCAUGACUUGCAAGAGGGGAGUGCUAACUACAUUGGCUUUGGGCAGUGUCAAUAAAGCAUCCCUCUCUUGAUAUGUAUGACCAUCUUUCUAGAGCAAUGAACAAUCAUGGUCUGAUUGAACCCUGCAAACACAAGGACUAACUGCCACGGUGCCACUCUGAGAGGAUGCUGCCAUUCCGAGAGGGUGCUCAGCAGCAGCCGCAUGAACUGCUUUCCCUCUGCAGAGCACCGCAGAAUGACAAAAGACAUCCCUUCCUCUAGCCACAUAAUGGAGAUGGAUUGCAGCUACUUGUGACAUCGCUGCAAAAGUUACCUCUUAACUUCUAUUAGGACCCAUUAAGAAAUGCCUUUUCCCUGCCUUGCCUCCCAGCCUUCUUGACAGCUUUAGCUGAGUAAGAUCUCCAGCCAUCUCCAGCAACCUCCGUGCUCCAUCAGGGACUUCCCAAGAGGCUUAACGGAGAAGAAGAGUUCCAACCUGCAUGUGAUUGGUACCACUCCUUGGGAUGUGGGUCCAAACCGAAUAAAAGAUGUCAGGAAGACGAAAGCCUAAGCUAUCCCCUAAGUACCUCUACUUUCUGGUUUAUCUAGAGUGAAUGACUGAGUAGGAAAUAUCAUAGCAACCACCAGACCUAGCCAAUCACAAAUCCCAAACACCAUUCUACAACAGGAGAGAGCAGCAUUGACGUUAUGGAAGUUCUUCUGCCCCAGGAAUUUCCAGGACAUCUGCUAAGUCAACCACAUUCUCACAAACAUUAUGGCCUUGAAUGUGAGUUUUUGCAACAACGUAUUUGUUCUCAAAAUGUUCCAGCUGAGAAGGCUACACCAAAUAUCCCCUCCAUUCUGCAGAUGGCUAAUUGGAAAGGCAAUAUUUUUUGUGGAGACCAGUUUCUUCCAACAUUAGACAUUUUGACAGCAUGAACAAAUAAGGAUUGGGUUUUGUGUUACAUUU